This 314-nucleotide unclassified non-coding RNA is filed under the name Hevea brasiliensis (rubber tree). Lineage: Eukaryota; Viridiplantae; Streptophyta; Magnoliopsida; Malpighiales; Euphorbiaceae. The record is from RNAcentral.
UGUAGUUAUCAAAGUUUCAAAAUUUUUCCCCUUUCCAAUUAUAUGAUAUUUAUGCAGAUCCUUCAAUGGAAAAUGGAAUAUUGCAAUGUCCAUAGGGUUCUGUUUACUUCCUUUCUAUAUCCCUGCCAAUGAGCCAUUUCUUGUGUUUCUGAAGUGGGUUUGUCUGAAAUUUGUUGGGCAUUGAUAUUCUAUGUGAAAGGAAGGCUUCUAUUGUUAAACUGUUGAUGUGGAAGUUGGACCGUAACUUGUGCGAUAUAAUUAACUAAUAUUUAACAACGAAAUGGAGAAAAGUGUGAAUUUUUUUUUAAUUAGCG